Molecule: ribosomal RNA, 497 nt
Filed under: uncultured bacterium
Lineage: Bacteria
Description: partial 16S ribosomal RNA
Rfam family: Bacterial small subunit ribosomal RNA
Source: RNAcentral
GAUGAACGCUGGCGGCGUGCCUAAUACAUGCAAGUCGAGCGAACGGACGAGAAGCUUGCUUCUCUGAUGUUAGCGGCGGACGGGUGAGUAACACGUGGAUAACCUACCUAUAAGACUGGGAUAACUUCGGGAAACCGGAGCUAAUACCGGAUGAUAUUUUGAACCGCAUGGUUCAAAAGUGAAAGACGGUCUUGCUGUCACUUAUAGAUGGAUCCGCGCUGCAUUAGCUAGUUGGUAAGGUAACGGCUUACCAAGGCAACGAUGCAUAGCCGACCUGAGAGGGUGAUCGGCCACACGGGAACUGAGACACGGGCCAGACUCCUACGGGAGGCAGCAGUAGGGAAUCUGCCGCAAUGGGCGAAAGCCUGACGGAGCAACGCCGCGUGAGUGAUGAAGGUCUUCGGAUCGUAAAACUCUGUUAUUAGGGAAGAACAUAUGUGUAAGUAACUGUGCACAUCUUGACGGUACCUAAUCAGAAAGCCACGGCUAACUACGUG